Molecule: ribosomal RNA, 391 nt
Filed under: Chrysophyceae sp.
Lineage: Eukaryota; Chrysophyceae
Description: partial small subunit ribosomal RNA
Rfam family: Eukaryotic small subunit ribosomal RNA
Source: RNAcentral
AUUCCAGCUCCAAUAGCGUAUACUAAAGUUGUUGCAGUUAAAAAGCUCGUAGUUGAAUUUCUGGUCGUGGCGAUCGGUCCGCCCUUCACGGGGUGUGCACCUGGUCUCUACGUCCAUCCUCGGGGAGAGCGCGUCUGGCAUUCAGUUGUCGGGCGCGGGAUCCUCGUCAUUUACUGUGAGCAAAAUAGAGUGUUCAAAGCAGGCUUAGGCCGUUGAAUACAUUAGCAUGGAAUAAUAAGAUAGGACCUUGGUCUAUUUUGUUGGUUUGCAUUCCAAGGUAAUGAUUAAUAGGGAUAGUUGGGGGUAUUCGUAUUCAAUUGUCAGAGGUGAAAUUCUUGGAUUUAUGGAAGACGAACUACUGCGAAAGCAUUUACCAAGGAUGUUUUCAUUA